CUGUCAAGCUUCCAAGAAAAGCCCUAUACCCGUUAAGGCAUGACGGCCUGUACCCGAAACCGACACAGGUGGGGUGGUAGAGAAUACCGAGGGGCACGAGAUAACUCUCUCUAAGGAACUCGGCAAAAUGGCCCCGUAACUUCGGGAGAAGGGGUGCCACCGCAAGGUGGUCGCAGUGAAGAGGCCCAGGCGACUGUUUACCAAAAACACAGGUCUCCGCUAAGUCGCAAGACGAUGUAUGGGGGCUGACGCCUGCCCAGUGCCGGAAGGUUAAGGAAGCUGGUCAGCGCAAGCGAAGCUAGCGACUGAAGCCCCGGUGAACGGCGGCCGUAACUAUAACGGUCCUAAGGUAGCGAAAUUCCUUGUCGGGUAAGUUCCGACCCGCACGAAAGGCGUAACGAUCUGGGCGCUGUCUCGGAGAGAGGCUCGGCGAAAUAGAAUUGUCUGUGAAGAUGCGGACUACGUGCACCCGGACAGAAAGACCCUAUGAAGCUUUACUGUAGCUUGGUAUUGUGCCCGGGCUCUGAAUGCGCAGGAUAGGUGGGAGGCUUUGAUCCAUUGCUUGUGGGUAAUGGUGAGCCACUGGUGAGAUACCACUCUUUCAGAGCUAGGGUUCUAACGGUCACCCGUUAUCCGGGGACCGGACAGUAUCAGGUGGGCAGUUUGACUGGGGCGGUCGCCUCCUAAAAGGUAACGGAGGCGCGCAAAGGGUCCCUCAGGCUGGUUGGAAAUCAGCCGACGAGUGUAAAGGCAGAAGGGAGCUUGACUGUGAGACCUACAAGUCGAACAGGGACGAAAGUCGGCCUUAGUGAUCCGACGGUUCUGAGUGGAAGGGCCGUCGCUCAGCGGAUAAAAGUUACUCUAGGAUAACAGGCUGAUCUCCCCCAAGAGUUCACAUCGACGGGGAGGUUUGGCACCUCGAUGUCGGCUCAUCGCAACCUGGGGCUGAAGUCGGUCCCAAGGGUUGGGCUGUUCGCCCAUCAAAGCGGUACGCGAGCUGGGUUCAGAACGUCGUGAGACAGUUCGGUCCAUAUCCGGUGCACGCGCAGGAACAUUGAGAGGAUUUCUCCCUAGUACGAGAGGACCGGGAGGAACGCACCUCUGGUGUACCAGUUAUCGUGCCAACGGUAAACGCUGGGUAGCCAUGUGCGGAGCGGAUAACCGCUGAAAGCAUCUAAGUGGGACCCCACCUCAAGAUGAGUGUUCUCAUGGCAUAAGCCAGUAAGGUCACGGGAAGAACACCCGUUGAUAGGCUCUACGUGGAAGCGUGGCAACACGUGAAGCGGAGGAGUACUAAUAGACCGAGGGCUUGAC
RNAcentral lists this ribosomal RNA (1314 nucleotides) under metagenome. Its description in RNAcentral is "bacterial LSU rRNA". It matches the Rfam family "Bacterial large subunit ribosomal RNA", at positions 1597 to 2925 of the family's 2925-position model. The record is from RNAcentral.